AUGGGAACAUCUGAGGUGCAGACAUCAGCAAGGCGCAGCUCCAGGCUUCCCAGCAGUCCCCGAGAAAAUGGAAAUUUAGAUGAGACACUGGUGUCCCCAACACCUUGUGCAGGCUGCUGGUUCAGAAGUACAUCCUGCUCAGCUCCAGCUCUCUGCUUCAGGCUUGCUAAGGGACACUCCUGUGCUACUGAAGCAUCCUACCCAACAGGUCGACUUUGUCCACCAGGAAAGAGAGCCUGUGGAAGACAGUGAUGAAGCCACCAGUUUUGAUCUGUGCCUUGGGAACCCAGUGGAAAUAUCAUAGAUCCCACAGUUCUACAUGUGCUCUUGAAUGAAUGGCACAGGAGAACAGAACACCAUGCAGGUAGACCAGCUUAAAAAAUCAUUUCCUAAAAUAUUACUCCAAGCUA
This 410-nucleotide long non-coding RNA is filed under the name Dasypus novemcinctus (nine-banded armadillo). RNAcentral's name for it is "lncRNA (ENSDNOG00000050770.1)". Lineage: Eukaryota; Metazoa; Chordata; Mammalia; Cingulata; Dasypodidae. The record is from RNAcentral.